AAAGGUGGUCGGAUAGCUGCGCCAAACAUAUCUCGAAAGAGGUUUGGCGAGGAAAGUCCGGACUUCAUGGAGACAAAGUACCAGAUAACGUCUGGCUGGGGAAACCCAAGGGAAAGUGCCACAGAAAAUUACCGCCCGCCGUCGCGAAAGCUAUGGUGGGUAAGGUUGAAAAGGCGGGGUAAAAGCCCACCGCAGAAAUGGCAACACUUCUGGCAAGGUAAACCCUACUUGAAGCAAGACCAAGAAUGGAGAUUAUGCAGAGCGUUUCCACUCUGUUCCUAAUGGUAGGUCGCGUUGAGCUAAUAUGGCGACAUUUAGCCCAGAUGAAUAGCUAUCGCUUGAAAAAGCACAGAAUCCGGCUUAUAGACCACCUUAUUUU
This 379-nucleotide RNase P RNA is filed under the name Lactobacillaceae bacterium. RNAcentral describes it as "RNase P RNA component class A". It matches the Rfam family "Bacterial RNase P class A". Rfam says of the family: Ribonuclease P (RNase P) is a ubiquitous endoribonuclease, found in archaea, bacteria and eukarya as well as chloroplasts and mitochondria. Its best characterised activity is the generation of mature 5'-ends of tRNAs by cleaving the 5'-leader elements of precursor-tRNAs. The record is from RNAcentral. Lineage: Bacteria; Bacillati; Bacillota; Bacilli; Lactobacillales; Lactobacillaceae.